This 1438-nucleotide long non-coding RNA is filed under the name Carica papaya (papaya). RNAcentral's name for it is "long non-coding RNA (CPAP_LNC006632)". The record is from RNAcentral. Lineage: Eukaryota; Viridiplantae; Streptophyta; Magnoliopsida; Brassicales; Caricaceae.
CGGAAGCAAAAUAAAAGGUUAAGGUUUACAUUACUUACACAAUAACUUAAAAGUACUUAACAGCAUUACGAAAUUAAUUCUUUGAAAGAAACACGAGAAAGAAGGAAACAAAUGAAAAAUAGAAAAUAUCUAGCAUCUACUCGCACUCUUCUUGUGGAUCGAGCUCUAAAACGUGGUCUUCUUGAUCUGAAAUGGUUAAAUAAGGGAUGAGCUACACUAACCCAAUAAGGAUAUCACACUAUAUCACCAGCACAGAAGUAAAGGUUGGUAUAAAAUCAAAACAACUAAUGGAGCACUAAAUUUAGCAAAUUCGUUUAUCAAUCAUAAAAUCAUUUGCCGUUCACUUACCAUAGUGGAAUUUAUGAAAACAACCUAUAGAGACAAUAAUACCAUACAGAUCAUAACUUCAUGAAUAAUUAGCAACAUAGAACAUAUCAUAAAUUCAUAUCCAUUAACAAUAAACUAAAUCAUAAUCAUUCUCAAUUCACCAGCCUACUAGUAUCUAUGGGGGUUCAAAGGGGUGGCCCCGCUACACGUGAACCCUUUCCUUUAAUAAUCUAAAUUAUAGGGUCGUCCCCAUACCCUGUCCGGUAUGAGCACCAAAACAUUAAACCUAAAUACCCCAUCCGGUAUGGGCGCCAAAUUAUCAGGUCUCCAUACCCCGUCCGGUAUGAGACAACGUCCACGGUAGGCUUCCCUAUGUACCCGGUCCGUCCACCAUCUCUCAGGAUAUCCAGUAAGACUGUCAUCUCAUCUAUUAAUUUAAAUCACACAAUUUCCUUACCGUUUAACAUUAUCCUUUUCUCAAUUCAGUAGUAAACACAUCAAUUAAACAUACAUGCGUUCAAGGCCAUAAAAUAAAUCCAAUACCAUCAUGCAUAUAAAUUGUAAAAUCAAUCAACAAACAGUAGUAGAUAAUUUCCAGUUCUGGCUCCAUUAGAAACCCGUAAUUAAUUACACAUGUUUACUAAAAUCGUAAAAAAUACCACAUUAUUAUUUAUAAUUAAACUUCAAUUCUAUGAUAGUGAAUAGGGUGAGGGAUCCUUACUCGAUUUGACGCCGAAAAGCUAAAUGGUUUACUGCACCUACGGGCGAUCCCUAGGUUCCCUAAAUUUUUUUCUAGGAACUGAAACGCACCUAUAGUACCUACAAAUAUUCUAAAUAAACCCAAAAUCAGUCCCAAGCCCCACUCAGCCAAUUUUAGAAAUCUGGCACGGCGGCUCCAUCGUGCUCCGGUGAUGGUGUUGUUGCCCACAGUGGUGGUCCAACUCGGGUCGGCUGUUUUUGAUCGAAUUCAGCCAAUUUUAUAUCGAUUCCUGCGAGCACACACGCUGAAGGGCCUCGGUGGACACAAAAAAUACGAAAAACCAAAACUCACUAGCGGUGGGGCUCUCUAGUACGGCGGUUCCUCUGGCUCACGUUACGAUUGAGUGUUUCA